This 79-nucleotide transfer RNA is filed under the name Ameiurus melas (black bullhead). RNAcentral describes it as "tRNA-Cys". The stretch from base 9 to 65 matches the Rfam family "tRNA", at positions 8 to 63 of the family's 71-position model. From Rfam's summary of the family: Transfer RNA (tRNA) molecules are approximately 80 nucleotides in length. Lineage: Eukaryota; Metazoa; Chordata; Actinopteri; Siluriformes; Ictaluridae. The record is from RNAcentral.
CCAGCAGCUAGCUCAGUGGUAGAGCAUUUGACUGCAGAUCAAGAGGUCCCAGGUUCAACUCCAGGUGCCCCCUGUUGGG